Numida meleagris (helmeted guineafowl) is the source of this 411-nucleotide long non-coding RNA. RefSeq lists it as uncharacterized. The record is from RefSeq and is a predicted model, not a curated record. Lineage: Eukaryota; Metazoa; Chordata; Aves; Galliformes; Numididae. The transcript is spliced from 2 exons.
CAGACCCAUGGCUAGACAUACAUCAAUGGCCAUACCAGGCAAUUGCUCUUGCUGUCAAAAGCUAUAGCAGGCAAUUGAAAGCAGUGUAGGAUGGAAGAGAGUAAGAACAGUUUCUCUCUGCAAAAUUCCCUUCAAAUUCUACUUCAUCCUAGUGAGAUAUUUUGUGUGCAUCCAUCAGGUGUAAACAAUUUCAAAGUAGGCUGGAUCACAGUUGCUUUCCCACUGAAGAUUGGUUGCACUUCCUGAUCAGACAGGUGUUCUGCUGUGUUGUAUAUAAAAAGUGUAUUACGUUAGAUCAUCCCAUAACCAUCUCCAAUACGAAGUGUGCAGCUUUACGGAUGGUUCAGAAGAUGCCUAGAGAUUACUAUUUUGUUUAUAGUAGUCCACAAUUCAACAUGUGUCAGCGUUACA